GCCCAAUAGCUAGCCCAACCCCCUAAACACAAUAAAACCCCCUUAAUAACCCCAUAAGCACCAAAAAUGCAAAACAAACCAUUUUUCCCUCUUAGUAUAGGAGAUAGAAAAGAGCCCCGGCGCAAUAGAGAAAGUACCGCAAGGGAAAGCUGAAAGAGAAAUGAAACAACCCAGUAAAAGCCUAAAAAAGCAAAGACUAAGCCUUGUACUUU
RNAcentral lists this ribosomal RNA (212 nucleotides) under Halichoeres prosopeion (twotone wrasse). Its description in RNAcentral is "partial 16S ribosomal RNA". Lineage: Eukaryota; Metazoa; Chordata; Actinopteri; Labriformes; Labridae. The record is from RNAcentral.